GAAAUAUACAUAACAACAAAAAAAAAAAAUAAUGUUUUAACAUACUUUGAAUACACGAUUUUAUCUUUAUUUAAAUAUAUAUAUUACCACGUUGCAUGGACAAAAGAUAAAAAUAUUUUUGUUAAAGAAGAUGGACAUGUAGAAAAUAAACAAAUGGAAACAAUAAAAACCAAAAUAAACGCUGAACAUAUCUAUAAAUCGUUUGUAAAAAAAAAGUAUAACAAUUUAUUACCUUUAUCAGAAAAUUUUUUAUCAAAUAUUAUACUUUUAUCAAUAUAUAUCCAAAAUCAUUUACCUAUUUUAUUUUCGAGUAUGCAAAAAAUGGAAAUAACAACAAAAAAAAAAAAAGUAGGAAACCUAUCUCAAAUGAAUAAAAUAUACAAUGUUUAUGUUCCUAGUAAUAAAAAUAUUACUAACCACUCUAACCACUCUAACCACUCUAACCACUAUAACCACUAUAACAACUAUAACCACUUGUAUAAACGGUUAAUUAUUAAAGAAUGUGGUGAAAAUAGAAAUGUACCUAUGACUAUCACCCAAUUAAUUGCUCAAAAAUGCAAAAACACAAAAACUGAUAAUCUAAAACGAAAAAACAAUUUUAUGUAUAAAAAAUAUAUAGAACAAAAAAAAAAUAAAAACCCUUUUCCCUGUUUUCUUACUAACAUUUAUAAUAUUUUUAAAAAAAAAAUUGUAUACAAUUAUGAACAUAAUCACAUUAAUGAAAUUGGGGAAAGUGGAGCAAGUGGUGAAAAUAAAAAAGAGAAAAGUGGAGAAAGUGGGGAAAGUAAGGAAAGUGGGGAAAGUGGGGAAAGUGGGGAAAGUGGGGAAAGUAAAAAAGUGAAAAGUGGUGAAAGUAAAGACUUGCGAAACAGAAAUUACAAAACUAUCGAAGAAACCAAUUUAUUUGACAACAUAAAAAGAAACAAAAACAACAAUAUCCAAACAAGCCUUACACAUUAUUACAUUAGUAACAAUUUAAAAAAAAUAUACAACAGUUAUUUAUAUAAUGAAAAAAAUAUUUUAACAUUUUAUUGUGAUAUAUAUUUUAACAACAAUAUUAUCGAAGUUGAUGGACCCAAGCAUUUUUUUAUUUAUUACAAUCUUGACCCUACUAACAACUUCUCAAUGCAAAAAAAUAAUUACUAUAUAAAAUCAUUUAUAAAACAAAAUAAAUAUAUUUUUAAUUACUAUUAUAUUUUUCCCUUCUUUUUUAAUAAUAAAAAUGUUUUAAACUUAGACAGUAAAAUAAAUAAUAUAUUGUAUAAUGACAAGAGUAUUAAAAAAAAAUUUUUUUUGUAUAAACAAGGCUAUUUUAUAAAAUAUAUAAAUUAUAAUGAUCAAAACAUUACUAGUUAUAAAUAUUUAUAUGACGUUAUAUUUAAAAGGAAAAGUAAGUUUAAAAUUUUAGGACAUGAACUCAGUCUAUAAGGGAUUAUUGACUGUUUAAUUUUAUAAUAUGUGCCCAUAUAUACCUAUAAAACACAUGCUUGUAAGUGCGCAUAUAAAUAUAUACAUAUCUAUGUAUGUACGUAUGUGUUGUUAUUUUGUAUAAACUUGCUAAUAUUGACACAUUGACGGCUCAUUAUUAAAAAAAAAAAAAAAAAAAAAAAAAACGGUACUAUUUUUUAACAUUUCCAUUUUUAACAUUU
Long non-coding RNA from Piliocolobus tephrosceles (Ugandan red Colobus), 1649 nucleotides. NCBI's taxonomy places the organism in Eukaryota, Metazoa, Chordata, Mammalia, Primates, Cercopithecidae. The record is from Ensembl.